RNAcentral lists this ribosomal RNA (460 nucleotides) under uncultured bacterium. Its description in RNAcentral is "partial 16S ribosomal RNA". It matches the Rfam family "Bacterial small subunit ribosomal RNA", at positions 338 to 795 of the family's 1533-position model. The record is from RNAcentral.
CCUACGGGGGGCAGCAGUGAGGAAUAUUGGUCAAUGGACGAGAGUCUGAACCAGCCAAGUAGCGUGAAGGAUGACUGCCCUAUGGGUUGUAAACUUCUUUUAUAUGGGAAUAAAAUGUUCCACGUGUGGGAUUUUGUAUGUACCAUAUGAAUAAGGAUCGGCUAACUCCGUGCCAGCAGCCGCGGUAAUACGGAGGAUCCGAGCGUUAUCCGGAUUUAUUGGGUUUAAAGGGAGCGUAGGUGGAUUGUUAAGGCAGGUGUGAAAGUUUGCGGCUCAACCGUAAAAUUGCAGUUGAAACUGGCAGUCUUGAGUACAGUAGAGGUGUGCGGAAUUCGUGGUGUAGCGGUGAAAUGCUUAGAUAUCACGAAGAACUCCGAUUGCGAAGGCAGUUCACUGGACUGCAACUGACACUGAGGCUCGAAAGUGUGGGUAUCAAACAGGAUUAGAUACCCUUGUAGUC